Molecule: ribosomal RNA, 440 nt
Filed under: uncultured bacterium
Lineage: Bacteria
Description: partial 16S ribosomal RNA
Rfam family: Bacterial small subunit ribosomal RNA
Source: RNAcentral
CCUACGGGUGGCAGCAGUGGGGAAUAUUGCACAAUGGGGGAAACCCUGAUGCAGCGACGCCGCGUGAGUGAAGAAGUAAUUCGUUAUGUAAAGCACUAUCAGCAGGGAAGAAAAUGACGGUACUUGAGUAAGAAGCCCCGGCUAACUCCGUGCCAGCAGCCGCGGUAAUACGUAGGGGGCAAGCGUUAUCCGGAUUUACUGGGUGUAACGGGAGCGUAGACGGCAGUGCAAGUCUGGCGUGAAAGGCGGGGGCUCAACCCGCGGACUGCUCUGGAAACUGGACGGCUGGAGUGCAGGAGAGGUAAGUAGAAUUCCUAGUGUAGCGGUGAAAUGCGUAGAUAUUAGGAGGAACACCAGUGGCGAAGGCGGCUUACUGGACUAUAACUGACGUUGAGGCGCGAAAGCGUGGGGAGCAAACAGGAUUAGAUACCCUUGUAUUC